GCUGCGGGCUGACUAGAAGUUCACCUGAGGCAUAGAGGGGGGAGGGUUUCCCGCUGUCGGUGUCGGGCUCCUGCUGAAUUUUUAAAAGCCAGGGUGCAGAAGGACUGGUAAUAAAAAACAAAAACAGAGUAGGAAUUGUUGCACAAGCGUUUGUCACCAUGUAAAACUUCAACAGGGUUAGGAACGCUGAAUACACAAAGAUGAUGAAGAUGUUUCCGCGAGGACAGCAGCUCAGGUUCCACCAGAUGCUGCAUCUCAUGUGGCCAGAACUGAAGCUCAUCUUCACCUUCAGCAUUCUCCAGAACAGUGGGAGUGAAUGAGCUUGGAACCACUGUUUCAGACAAGACUCAUUGUCCUCAGUUAGACCCAGGUACAUGGAGUCCUUGGUCACAGGAGGAUGUGGAUAGAACUUUCCAGGUCAGGACAGAUGAAGCUUCUUGUAGCCCAAAACCAUGAUGUGAGAAGUAUGCCCCUUGUGUGAGCA
Molecule: long non-coding RNA, 484 nt
Organism: Octodon degus (degu)
Lineage: Eukaryota; Metazoa; Chordata; Mammalia; Rodentia; Octodontidae
Exons: 3
Source: RefSeq, a predicted model, not a curated record